GCGGUGCAGGAUGAGCCCGCGGCCUAUCAGCUAGUUGGUGAGGUAAUGGCUCACCAAGGCGACGACGGGUAGCCGGCCUGAGAGGGCGACCGGCCACACUGGGACUGAGACACGGCCCAG
This 120-nucleotide ribosomal RNA is filed under the name uncultured bacterium. RNAcentral's name for it is "partial 16S ribosomal RNA". It matches the Rfam family "Bacterial small subunit ribosomal RNA", at positions 215 to 334 of the family's 1533-position model. The record is from RNAcentral.